CGGGAAAAGCUCAAAUUUAAAAUCUGGUGGUCUUUGGCCAUCCGAGUUGUAAUCUAGAGAAGUGUUAUCCGCGCUGGACCGUGUACAAGUCCCCUGGAAUGGGGCGUCAUAGAGGGUGAGAAUCCCGUCUUUGACACGGACUACCAGGGCUUUGUGAUGCACUCUCAAC
RNAcentral lists this ribosomal RNA (169 nucleotides) under Pleurotus giganteus. Its description in RNAcentral is "partial large subunit ribosomal RNA". It matches the Rfam family "Eukaryotic large subunit ribosomal RNA", at positions 99 to 261 of the family's 3401-position model. The record is from RNAcentral. Lineage: Eukaryota; Fungi; Basidiomycota; Agaricomycetes; Agaricales; Pleurotaceae.